GCGAACGCUGGCGGCAGGCUUAACACAUGCAAGUCGAACGGGCACCUUCGGGUGUCAGUGGCAGACGGGUGAGUAACACGUGGGAACGUACCCUUCGGUUCGGAAUAACUCAGGGAAACUUGAGCUAAUACCGGAUACGCCCUUUUGGGGAAAGGUUUACUGCCGAAGGAUCGGCCCGCGUCUGAUUAGCUUGUUGGUGGGGUAACGGCCUACCAAGGCGACGAUCAGUAGCUGGUCUGAGAGGAUGAUCAGCCACACUGGGACUGAGACACGGCCCAGACUCCUACGGGAGGCAGCAGUGGGGAAUAUUGGACAAUGGGCGCAAGCCUGAUCCAGCCAUGCCGCGUGAGUGAUGAAGGCCUUCGGGUUGUAAAGCUCUUUAGCCGAUGAUUAUAAUGACUGUAGUCGGAAAAUAAGCCCCGGCUAACUUCGU
This 433-nucleotide ribosomal RNA is filed under the name uncultured bacterium. RNAcentral's name for it is "bacterial SSU rRNA". It matches the Rfam family "Bacterial small subunit ribosomal RNA", at positions 29 to 506 of the family's 1533-position model. The record is from RNAcentral.